RNAcentral lists this ribosomal RNA (766 nucleotides) under uncultured Suillus. RNAcentral's name for it is "eukaryotic LSU rRNA". The stretch from base 197 to 351 matches the Rfam family "5.8S ribosomal RNA". Lineage: Eukaryota; Fungi; Basidiomycota; Agaricomycetes; Boletales; Suillaceae. The record is from RNAcentral.
UCCGGCGAGGGGAAGGACGAGAGUUGUCGCUGGCCUUUCGCGAGGCAUGUGCACGCUUUCUUCUGGACUUUCGCCGUAUGGGCGCGGGGCGACCCGCGUCUUCAUGCACCUCUUCGUGUAGAAAGUCUUCGAAUGUUAUACUAUCAUCGAGUCGCGACUUCUAGGAGACGCGGUUCUUUGAGACAAAAGUUAUUACAACUUUCAGCAACGGAUCUCUUGGCUCUCGCAUCGAUGAAGAACGCAGCGAAUCGCGAUAUGUAAUGUGAAUUGCAGAUCUACAGUGAAUCAUCGAAUCUUUGAACGCACCUUGCGCUCCUCGGUGUUCCGAGGAGCAUGCCUGUUCGAGUGUCAGUAAAUUCUCAACCCCUCUCGAUUCGUUUCGAGCGGGCGUUUGGACAGUGGGGGCUGCCGGAGACCUGGAUUUAUUUCGGGACUCGGGCUCUCCUGAAAUGCAUCGGCUUGCGGUCGACUUUCGACUUUGCACGACAAGGCCUUCGGCGUGAUAAUGAUCGUCGUUGGCUGAAGUGCAUGAAUGAACCGUCCCGCGCCUCUAAUACGUCGACGCUUUCCAGCGUCUUCCUUAUUGACGUUUGACCUCGAAUCAGGUAGGACUACCCGCUGAACUUAAGCAUAUCAAUAAGCGGAGGAAAAGAAACUAACAAGGAUUCCCCUAGUAACUGCGAGUGAACCGGGAAGAGCUCAAAUUUUGAAUCUGGCGGUCUUUUCGGCCGUCCGAGUUGUAAUCUAGAGAAGCGUCUUCCGCGCU